GUGAGGAAUAUUGGUCAAUGGACGAGAGUCUGAACCAGCCAAGUAGCGUGAAGGAUGACUGCCCUAUGGGUUGUAAACUUCUUUUAUAAGGGAAUAAAGUGAGGGACGUGUCCCUUUUUGUAUGUACCUUAUGAAUAAGGAUCGGCUAACUCCGUGCCAGCAGCCGCGGUAAUACGGAGGAUCCAAGCGUUAUCCGGAUUUAUUGGGAUUAAAGGGAGCGUAGGUUGACAUAUAAGUCAGCUGUGAAAGUUUACGGCUCAACCGUGAAAUUGCAGUUGAUACUGUAUGUCUUGAGUGUACAAGAGGUGGGCGGAAUUCGUGGUGUAGCGGUGAAAUGCUUAGAUAUCACGAAAAACUCCAAUUGCGAAGGCAGCUCACUGGGGUACAACUGACACUGAGGCUCGAAAGUGUGGGUAUCAAACAGGAUUAGAUACCCGGGUAGUCC
This 445-nucleotide ribosomal RNA is filed under the name uncultured bacterium. RNAcentral's name for it is "partial 16S ribosomal RNA". It matches the Rfam family "Bacterial small subunit ribosomal RNA", at positions 354 to 796 of the family's 1533-position model. The record is from RNAcentral.